GAUUAACGCUGGCGGCGUGCAUAACACAUGCAAGUCGAACGAAGUGGCGGACGGGUGAGUAACGCGUGAGUAACCUGCCUUAGAGAAGGGGAUAGCCUUUGGAAACGAAGAAUAAUAACCUAAGCUCUAAGAUGGACUUGCGUCUGAUUAGUUAGUUGGUGGGGUAACGGCCCACCAAGACAGCUAUCAGUAGCCGGCUUUGGGAAAUGUACGGCCACAUUGGGACUGGGACACGGCCCAGACUCUACGGGAGGCAGCAGUGGGGAAUUUUGCACGAUGAGGGAAACCCUGAUGCAGCGGCGCCGCGUGAUUUAGAAGGCCUUCGGGUUGUAAAAAUCUUUUCUAUGGGAAGCAGUACCAUAGGAAUAAGGACCGGCUAAUUACGUGCCAGCAGCCGCGGUAAUAC
Molecule: ribosomal RNA, 406 nt
Filed under: uncultured bacterium
Lineage: Bacteria
Description: partial 16S ribosomal RNA
Rfam family: Bacterial small subunit ribosomal RNA
Source: RNAcentral